AUAAGAAACAUGGGUAGCCAUUGACCAAUGAAUCAAUGAGUCAAAUGAGAAAGUUCAGAAAAACUUUCGCAAAGAAAACAAAAAUAACAAUUUUAUUCCACAUUUUCAUCUCUACUGUGUCACUUGUGGAUGUGUGUUCAUGACAGUACUAUGACACAAGCCUGUGGUGGUGUCGGCGCUGACCAAGAUCCGGCUUGAUGACAUUGAAUACAAGGCACAAGGCACGUGGCAGAAUGAAAGCGAGCAGCGCAUCUCUCCUGCCGAUUACCUCCAUCUCUCCAACUGUGCCAAAGUGACUGAAAGAGGGAAGAGUCAUCUGCCUCCCGCGGUCUGCCAACACACAGACCACCAUGGGAAGUGAGGGAGCGAAAAAGAAAGAGGAAGAAAAAGAUAACUGGAGAGAUUGGACAGUCGGGAGCUUUUGAAGAGAAGAAAGACCGAAUUCUGCCCCAAGAACAGCGAUAACGGACAUGGGGUCCCACUGGGGGAUGGGCCGGAGGGGU
This is a long non-coding RNA of Cyprinus carpio carpio, 503 nucleotides long. The record is from Ensembl. Lineage: Eukaryota; Metazoa; Chordata; Actinopteri; Cypriniformes; Cyprinidae.